RNAcentral lists this long non-coding RNA (1660 nucleotides) under Homo sapiens (human). Its description in RNAcentral is "HSALNT0343872". The record is from RNAcentral. Lineage: Eukaryota; Metazoa; Chordata; Mammalia; Primates; Hominidae.
ACAAGAAAACAACUAUACCAAAAUUGGCUACGAAUCAGGUGCAAGGGCACAUAAAAGAAGCAGCAAUUAUUUCUGAUCAAAGGAUUAGAGAAGAAUGUGCACAGAAGGUGACACAGAAACUCAGCUUAGAAAAAUGUAUAUUUGCGGGGAGAUAAAGGGGAAGGUAUUACAAUGUGAGGCUGUAUAAGAUUCCAAAGCACAGAGAUAUGAAUGUGAAAGGCUUAAUUUGAGAAAGACAAAAUGUUCAUAGUGACUGAAACUUGUUAGCAGAACUUGCAUAGUGCUAGCUCUAAAGAGAAGUUUGGGCUCGGUUUAGAGGGACUUUGGCUGCCAUACUAGGGAGUUUGGAUUCCAUUCUACAGUGUGGAGGAAGAUUUUUUAAAAGCACCAUUUAGUAAACACUGUGGUUGCCUCCUCAACAUCUAUUCCCUACACUACCCCUAUUGUCCUUUCUAACCAAAUCCAUUUUUUUUUUAAAUCAGAUAAUCCACCUCUCCUUUAUGAGAUUCAGGGGACAAUGAAUUCAUCUCCAUUUCCAAGGAUAGAUCUGUAUUAGCUUAAAUCAGGCAGGCUAACUCAUACUUCUUGUGCUUCCAUGACAGACUCUUUCUGGGUUAUACGUAAUAAAUAUACAUAAACAAUAUUAUACUUCAUUGUCCAGCAUAUACAAGAGGCAAACACAAAUCAGAAAUAUUAUCUUUACCAGUGGUACAUGAGUCCAUUUUUUGUCAAAUAGAGAGCAAUUGCUGCAGUAAUUGCAGUUUAUCACUAAGCCAGAUGCAGGGGUUACUCAUACAUAUGCCUUCUAAUUGUGGGCUACUAUUAAUAGUCACUGGCCUCCUUCUUAAAUUAUUUUCAGUCAUGAGCUUAACUUAAUGUGGUACCAUAUAUUCUUUCUUUUAAGGACCUUAAGAAUCUGGGAAGAAUUAGCCACACUCUAAUUUAGGAACAGAGAUGGAUGAAUCCACCUAUGGACAUUUACUGGUAUGAGUCACUGGGGAAGUUCACUAAGUCACUAUUUAAGAUGAUCCAGAACAGGUGUCUACAGCUGCCUUAAGAAUGAGUACUAUGGUGGUGAUGAAAAUGUUCCUCUCAGAUGUCCAACUGCAGGGGGUGGGUAUGAAAUUGCCAGAUGGCCCCAGCUGGUGUGCUCUGGAAUCCUUGGCGCCAAGGCCAUGCUGCCAGGGGCUUCUCCAGGCUGGUGAUCAAAUGUAGUGAGGAUCCUCAGGCAGGCCCAUUCCUGGAAGACAUGGGACUCUCCCGAUAGGUCGGCUCCAAGGCUACACAAGCAGCAAGAAGAAAAGGAAAAACUCUGUUUUAUUAAAGCUCCACUUGCCUAUCUACCUUGGUGGAGGGUCAAGAAAAGGUUUAUAACCUAUUUGCAGGUUUUAGGCUCCUGUUUGCAGCACAGAAACCACAGACAAUAGAAAUUCAGACUCAGUGGUGUGGCAGAAGAUAAAAUAAUUUGGGUUAUUUCUGUGAUAACAUGGGCAAUCUGGAAACUACUCCCAUUUGUGAGGGUAAAUCUCUAUUAUGAUACAUGGAAAAUAGGACAGAUGCUAAUUCAGCAAAAUAUGUUUCCCCUACUGGCUGCCCACUGCAUGGCUGAUGAAAGACAGGAAGGCGCUCAGAGGCAGCAUGCACAGAGGGUUUGCUUGGA